ACACCUUUCCAGCCACUCUGCCCCAGCCUGAGGCACUGCCUGAGGUUUUGUGAUCCAGGGGCUGGAUUUGACACUUCACCUUCUUGAACCUCAUACAACUGUCCUCAGACCAUCAACCCAGCCUGUCCAGAUCCAUGUGCAGAGCCUUCCUGCCAUCCAGAAGCAACGCUCCUGCCCAGCUUGGCAUUGUCUGUGGACUGACUGAGGGUGCAUUUGAUCCCUUCAUCCAGACCACUGAUAGAGACAUGAAACAGAAGUGCCCCCCAACACAGAGUUCUGAGGAACACUGCUGGUGACCAGCUGCCAGUUGGACUGGACUCCCUUCACCACCUCCCUGGACCUGGCCAUCCAGACAGUUCUAACCCAGCAGAGAGUGCACCUGUCCAAACCAUGAGCAGCCAGUGGCUCCAGGAGGUGCUGUGGGAAAUGGUGUCAAAGGCUUCACUGAAGUCCAGGUAGAAAACAUCCAAAGCACUCCCCUCAUCCACUCAGUGGGUCACCGUGUCACAGAAGGGGAUCAGCUCAAACAGGACCUGCCUUUCACAAACCAAUGUUGGCUGGGCCUGGCUCCCUGGUUGUCCUGGACAUGCCUUGUGAUGGCACUCAGGAGGAUCUGCUUCAUGCAUUAAGAACAUUCAAACCAAAAGCCUCCCCUACAAAAUCUGAACCUCUUGUGCACUCCUGGCUUCCUUGCUCUCAGCACAAGGUAUUUGAGGAGCUAUUGCCUUGGACAUCAAGGUAAAAAUCAUACUUUAGGGAACUCAUUUCCUGAGUGGAGAGCACAGCUUCACUACAGGCUUUUAAAUUGUGAUGAGCUACUAUUCCCACAGGAAAACACACAAGUGCUUGAGUGCUCAGGCUGCCCAGACAAUUCAAAUUCAAGUUCUUUGUAAUUUGGUACCAGGCACAGAGAGCUGUGCAGUUCCCAGCAUUCCUUUACUUCCCCAAAUGCUUCAUCACCCAAAUAUCUACAGCCACUUAUUUCAAAACCUCUGUAAUUCUCUCAACAAGCUUCAGAAUACAGGUAUCUUUGAAGUCCUUCCUCCUUGAGUUACGUGACUUUGCACAACCAUCAGCUUUCAAACACAAUUGUGUCAAAUAAGACCAAAACAUUUACAAGCACAGGUUGGAAUAAGGAGCUCUGUUGGACAGUGAAUUACUUUGAUGUUUCUCCCCCAAGACGAAACCCAACUUCCACUUACUCUAGGGCAAACUCAAAAGGUUUUAUUUUAAUUUUUUUUUUUUAGCAAAUUCUAUCACGUAAAUGUUAACAAAAAACAUCUGUACAAUUGCCAUGAUACACUCAAAAGUGAAACAAAUAAGAUAUAAAUACAGAUAUGGAUGUAACAUGACAAAAGCGGAAAAAAUAGAAAAAAAUACAUGCGCAUGAACACGGUGCCAACAAAGUCAUUUCUCAUGGCUGGCAUUUUUCAGAGCAUUUUUUACUUCCCAUUUAAAACAUUGUUAGCAACGUCCUGCUGUGUACUACAAAGGUCUAUUUUUCUGUCCCUUAAUAUGUAAUAUUAUGCUUGAUAAAUAAAGGGGUGGGGAGAAAAGGUUCUGAUGACAAAGAUGCAAGUUACAUUACUUAUACAGGUUAUUGGUAAGCUAGUAAUAAGCAAUUAAAAAGACAGUCUUGUAUUGUAUUGUAAUCCAGGCAAGCACACAUAGUGUACCUUAAGAAAGCCACAUGCCUCGGUAUUUCUGAACUAUAUGAGAACUACAGUACGUAGACCUGUGGGGCAGAUGGAGCCGGGAUUUGCCCAUGCCCACGGAGCACUGGUGCAGCCAAUGGCAGAAAAAACAUCCACAUCUGAGAUUUCGGCAACCUUGCAGCCAAGAGCUGCUGUCUGCUGAGAGUUUUCUCCCAUUCAGAUUUUUAAAGCAUGGUGGGCAA
Long non-coding RNA from Passer domesticus (house sparrow), 1897 nucleotides. RefSeq lists it as uncharacterized. The transcript has 2 exons. The record is from RefSeq and is a predicted model, not a curated record. Lineage: Eukaryota; Metazoa; Chordata; Aves; Passeriformes; Passeridae.